Molecule: long non-coding RNA, 1615 nt
Organism: Drosophila montana
Lineage: Eukaryota; Metazoa; Arthropoda; Insecta; Diptera; Drosophilidae
Exons: 4
Source: RefSeq, a predicted model, not a curated record
UAUAUAUUACGUACUAUUUAUUGGCAGUGCCUUGUGUGUUGUGUGUUAAACGAAAACAAUUGAAAACUGCGAACUGCAUAAAUUGUUGCAAUCGUGCUGCUCGCCAAUUUGCGACGGCAAAAGUUUUGUGACCUUUUUACGAAAGGAAAUUGCAUUUUGCAUUUUGCAGUUUGCACUUUCGAAUUUGCAAUUUCGGCAUUUUGACAAUUUUGUCGAUUUGUGUGAGGCCCACAGAAUUUUGUGCUUAAAUGUUGAAGCGACUGUUAAGCUUUUAGUCAAUUGUCGCCUUCAGAGAGGCAACGCCAACGCCUUUGGGCCACAAGCUGCAAAUGCUGGCUGACUGGCACAUUUCUCUCAAAUUUACCAAAAAGGCGACCGCAGGCAAAAGUUGAGGCACCAGCAACAACAACAACUACGACGACGACGACAACAGCAAUAGCUGCAACAACAACUUGUACAGCAGCAACAUGUUGCACUCGUGCACUCGCCCAAGCAAUUUGCAUACAAAUGUUGCCGUGUGGCACUUGAAAAUGCAAUCGCUGUCACUAAAGGAAAACGGGCAGAGCCAGCCUGAGUCCCAACCAGAGGCUGCUCCAGGGCCCGGCAGCAGCAGCAACAGCAGCUGGCGAGGCUGCCGUUUCAUAAUUUGAUAUUAAACAUGCGCCCCGUAUGUAGAACUUGUAAAUUUGCAAAUUGCUGAAACGCAUGACAGGCGCAGAACGAAGGCAGCUGCCUGAUUCUUUUGCUGCCCUCCUCCCCUUCUCUAUACCCCUGGCUGUCCUACUUCUUGCACCUUUCUCUCAGUCCGAAUGCUGUGCCACACAGUUCAAAAGGCAUUUUGCCCGCCAGCGCUGCGUGAAUUUGCAUUUACAUGGCUCGACCCAAACCCAAGCCCAAACCCAAAUUGAAAGCCGAACCCGCUUAGUGGCAGCAAGAAGUUAAAUGCAGCCACGCCCCAGCCCGCGCACUGCCCACAAAACGUCGCUCAAUUGACUUUCAAUUGCAAAACAAACGCAACACAAAGCAGUCGAAAAACAAAGCAAAAAACCAAACCAGAACAAAAACCAGCUGAAUUUAUUUCAAUUUUUUGUUUUCGUUUUCGUUUUUUGCCAUUGACUGGGUUAUGAUAUGUUGAUUUCCAAGUGCGCAUAUAGUAUAUGAUUGACAUACUCAUGUUGCCCGAUCAAUUGAACGCCUGCGAGUGGAUGUGGAAGCUGCCAAGUGUUUAUUUUGCAAUUUUUUUUUGGUUUGAAAAUUUCAUUUCUUAAAGAUUUGUUAAUACAAUAUUUUUUGCUUAUAUUACACUUGGCAGCGUUAUAAAACUUAUGAAUCUCAAGUGUGUUCACGCUUUCCUCAACGGAAGAGUGUCUCGAGAUUUGGCUUAACAGCAAAAGGUAAACCCACAAGACGGGCUGAGAGUACUUGAAAUAUCCAGAGAAUUUGUUUAUAAGAUCUUGCCAGAGAAAAUAUAUAAAUCUAACUAGUUUUCUCUGUCUCUCUCUCUCUCUCUAAAUAGUUUUUCUCUGAACUUGUCAAAUUGAGAAUCUCAAGUGUGCUCACGGAUUUACCUAAGAAACAAAAAAAUAAACCUAUAAGACUGGCUGAUAGUAUUUGA